CCUACGGGAGGCAGCAGUGAGGAAUAUUGGUCAAUGGGCGCGAGCCUGAACCAGCCAAGUCGCGUGAGGGAGGACGGCCCUACGGGUUGUAAACCUCUUUUGCCGGGGAGCAACGGGCGCCACGUGUGGCGUCACUGAGAGUACCCGGAGAAAAAGCAUCGGCUAACUCCGUGCCAGCAGCCGCGGUAAUACGGAGGCUGCGAGCGUUAUCCGGAUUUAUUGGGUUUAAAGGGUGCGUAGGCGGAUCGUUACGUCAGUGGUCAAAUUGAGGGGCACAGCCCCUUCCCACCAUUGAAACUGGCGUUCUUGAGUGGAAGAGAAGUAUGCGGAAUGCGUGGUGUAGCGGUGAAAUGCAUAGAUAGCACGCAGAACCCCGAUUGCGAAGGCAGCAUGCCGGCUUCCGACUGACGCUGAAGCACGAAAGCGUGGGGAUCGAACAGGAUUAGAUACCCCAGUAGUC
This 460-nucleotide ribosomal RNA is filed under the name uncultured bacterium. RNAcentral's name for it is "partial 16S ribosomal RNA". It matches the Rfam family "Bacterial small subunit ribosomal RNA", at positions 338 to 795 of the family's 1533-position model. The record is from RNAcentral.